UGGCGUGGAAGGGUGAUCGCUCCGAUGAAUCCAUCGGUGAGGAAAGUCCGAGCACGACAGGACACGGUGGUGGGUAACACCCACCGGCUCAUGGUUGCAAGUCAGGGAAAGUGCCACAGAGAAAAGACCGCCUACCCCGCUUCGGCGGGCGGCAAGGGUGAAACGGUGCGGUAAGAGCGCACCGCCCGUCCGGUGACGGCCGGGGCACGGCAAACCCCACCGCGUGCAAGCGCAAGCAGCUCCUUCGUCGGCCAUGCCGGCGUACUCGUGGUCCGCGAGUGGAGCGGGUCGCGUGCUCGAAUGGGUUCGUAUUGCGAGCUCAUUCGGAGGCUGUUGGCGACAACAGCUCUAGAGAAAUGAUUGCCAAGGCGUUCGCGCUGAACAGAACUCGGCUUACAUUCCACCGCAACCU
RNAcentral lists this RNase P RNA (412 nucleotides) under Planctomycetes bacterium TMED75. RNAcentral's name for it is "RNase P RNA component class A". It matches the Rfam family "Bacterial RNase P class A". From Rfam's summary of the family: Ribonuclease P (RNase P) is a ubiquitous endoribonuclease, found in archaea, bacteria and eukarya as well as chloroplasts and mitochondria. Lineage: Bacteria; Pseudomonadati; Planctomycetota. The record is from RNAcentral. RNAcentral also lists the same sequence under 1 other name.